RNAcentral lists this long non-coding RNA (400 nucleotides) under Oryza brachyantha (malo sina). Its description in RNAcentral is "long non-coding RNA (OBRA_LNC000771)". The record is from RNAcentral. Lineage: Eukaryota; Viridiplantae; Streptophyta; Magnoliopsida; Poales; Poaceae.
CGCCCUCUUCGGCGGCGACGGCGGCGACGACGAGUAGAGCUAGAGCGCCGUCACCCCGCCUCGCCGGAGCAGCUAGCGUCGAUCUCGGUUAGGUUGGUGGUCGGUUUGUUUGCUAGGGUUUGCUUCCGCAAUAUGAGGAUCUUGAGGAGCUCGAGUGUAAAACUGCGAGGUGUAAAUUAUUAAAAUUACAGGAGUGCCCCGUCUCGUCGGGUUGCUCUGUACAAGGCUGAAGCUUCUUGUGCCGUAUCCGGUCCAUGUGCUUUGUACCCUUCUCCUACGCCUCUCUCUCUUUUCUCCUUGCUAUUACUACCUUUAUUUUUCGUUCUCCUAACUUCUAUUUUCCAUGUUCAACGUUAAACCAUUCGUUUUAUUUAAAAAAUUAUAUAAAAAUUUAAAAAAA